RNAcentral lists this long non-coding RNA (631 nucleotides) under Vombatus ursinus (common wombat). RNAcentral describes it as "lncRNA (ENSVURG00010015609.1)". Lineage: Eukaryota; Metazoa; Chordata; Mammalia; Diprotodontia; Vombatidae. The record is from RNAcentral.
GCAGAGCAAGAAAAGGCAGCUGAAACUGCAUGGUAAGAGGAAACUCCAUUUUAUGAUUGGGGAAAACUAGGAGCAGGGUGACAUUAGAUGGUUGAAGUAACUUUGUUGCUGGAGAGUAAAAGAAAGACUCCCGUCUACAUGUGGCUUGGGACUCCUAGAGAAGAAUAGCGGCCAUCAGGGACACUGGACAAGAAUAUGAGGAAGAACAAAUAUAUGAAGGAAUAUAUGAAGAUUAUCAGGUGGUCUAUUACACAGUCACUCCAUAUUACGAUGACUUUGGAGUCAACUUUACCCUUGACUAUUCCCAAUUUGAGGAGGAGGAUAGAAUGGCCAGUACUCAGUCCACUACACCAAAGGAGAGAUUAUACACAGAGAAGAACUGGGGCCAAGAAGGAAAAGAAGAUGGCCCCAGGGACAGAAAAGAAUCUACCACAGAGGCACCUUCAGCUAUGGAUGCUGCUGUGCCCACUCUGCAGCAUCACCUCCCACUCCUCCUUCUGCCCUGGGUUCUGCUGAGGUGGAUAUUGCUACUUUAGAAGGAGAGAGAAGGCUGCCAUGACUUCUUUGAAAAGGGGGUGGGGGGGGAGUGGAGUGCAGAAACUGGAAAAAGAAAUAAAUAAUUGAACCACAA